CGGGAUCACUCCCUGAGCCGAAGGCAGACGCUUAACCGCUGUGCCACCCAGGCGCCCCAUGCUAAGACUCUUGGCUGCAAGCUAGAAACUCAGUCUGAACUACUUAAGAAAGGAUUUCAUUGGAGCCAUCCUGGGGUAUCACAGUACCUUGAAACUUGGCAAAUUUAGGAUUCAGCUCCACCUUAGGAAUAACUAGAGCCAAGUGUUCAAAACCUCUCAGGUAUUGUCCUCUAUGUCAUCCUCUUUCAGUUUGCUUCUGUUCCUAUGUUUGGUGUCAUUCUUGACUGUCACUGAAAAUUGGCUUUACCUCUGUGACUCAAACCCAACUAUCAUCAGUCUUUGCAUUUCUAAUGCUUAGAACCUGAAAUAAAAGAGUGACUUAAAGCUUUGGUCCUGAGUCCAAAAUCUGUGAAAUGGUCAGAUUGGUAUUUUAAAGGCAUAAUCUCAACAAGGGGAGAAAGCAUUUUGGUUGCAAAACUGAGAGUAGAUUGGGAAAAAACCAGAAUGAAUGACUCUAGAUAGGUUAGGCUGUAUUCAGCAGUUGUGGUGAGAGAAGGUGGUAGCUUGGACUGGGCUAGGUUGAUAGUGUUGGAGAUGGGCAGAGGUAGAUGUUGUAGAGACAGGUUUAGGACACACACACAAAAAUUGGAUUUGUUAAGGUAGUAGCUUGGAUAUGGGUGGUGGAUGAGAAUAUAUCAUGGGUGAUAUUCAGGUUUCUGGCUUGCGUGACUAGUUGGUUAGUGCAGUCAUUUGCUGAGGUUGGACCACUUCAGUUUGGGAACUAUGGUCAUAAUUGUGGUUUUUGAUAUGUUAAUGCAAGGUAUUUUUGGGGCAUCCGAGGAGCUGUUAAGAAAGUAUUAGAUGUGGCUUUUUCAGUCAAAUGUGAGGUCUGGGCUUUUGCUGUAAAUAUUUGUGGAGAAGGUAUAGCCUAUUGCUUCAGAGGAUGGGAUUGGCAUAAAAAAGACUGUCACUUACUAGCUGUGCUUCCUAAGGUUGGCUACUUAGUCAUCUUUUAGCAUUAUUUCUCAUCCCUGAAGUAGGUGUAGUAAUUGCACCUACUUCAUAGAGCUGCUCUGAGGAUCGGUUGGUAUGGUUGCGGGUAAGGUGUUUAGCACCUUAGCAAGUACAUAGCAUGCAUCCUGUCAGUGUUAAGUGGUGGUCUUAUUCUUUACGCUCUUGUGGACAGGAAUUGUGCCUCAUUCACCUGUUCUUUUCCCAUAGGACUAGAUAUUAAUGAGCCACUGUGGGGCAGAGUGGAGAGUGUGAACAGUUGCAUGACUGGAGCAUAGUGAUGUUAAUCUGGCUAUGAAUUGAUAAACUGAAGGAGGAAGAGAUUGGAGUGAUGGGAGUGAGAGAAUGAUGGUGGUAAUAUUGGAAUAAGUACUUGAACUGGGGUGGCACAAUUGGAAUAGCAGUAUUGCUGUGGGGAGGUGAAUAAGAUGAGAACCAAGAAGAGGCCAUUGGAUUUGUUGGUUAGGUGGGAAAUGUUUAUCUUUUCACUACAGUUCUAGGACUAUAGAGCAGAUUGAAGUUGAUUACAGAAUGAAUGGGUAGUGAGAAAAUGGCGUUAACAGGUGUGUUCUUUGUUGAAAUUAUCUGUUGAAAUUCCCAAGAAAAAGAAACUAUGAAAGCAUUUGAAGUGUGUAGCGACAAAAUGAUCUUAAAAUGCCUUGGGAAUAUUUAUACCAAUUUGGAAACUGUUCUCAAGGUUGGAAAAAAAAGUUGGCUGUUGUCAUUUGGCAAAAUGGUAAGUAAUCAUCACAAUUCCCUGAAGUGAUCAUUUUCGUUUCAUACUUUGUGACUAUCGCAGGUUUCUAACAACAUUGUCACCAGAGCUGAUCUAGAGGAUUUCCACCUGUACCCUGCCACAAACACAUAGAAAGUGUGGACAAAAUAUACUAAGGACAAAGAAAAGCAUUCCUGAGCCUGAUAGACCAGAACAUCCCAGGUGCCAGAAGUGAAAGGAGAACUCAAAGCCAGGGUAUAAUUAGGAGCUUAAGUCCUGCCCUGCUCUCAGAUCUGGAUGCAGCCUCCAAGGUCUUGGUCCUGAGGGUGUCAUGAAGGAACAGGAGACAUGAUCUUAGGUCUCCAUGAAGAAGGAAGGUGGAGUUGAGGUCUUCCUACAUAAAACUUCGAAGGGUGUCCAUCUGUGGAAAGAAGACUAGAAAAACCUGGUCCAUGGAAGUGCAAAGAAAUAGGUGGUCCUCCUGAGGUUGUAUAUAAUUAGAAAUAAAAAGAGAAACAUCAGAAUCCCAAAGUUGUACAUCACUUUGGGGAUGGGUUAAAAUUUAACAUUUCUUACAGUGCAACUAACCCUCAAGCUGAGAAAUUAGCAUGAAAUGUGGUACAGAACUGUGGAAACCAAUGGAGCCCUUAGAAACUCCCUGGAAGAACAAAAACUCCUUUGAAAGAUGGAUGGAUAAACACAUUUGUACCAUCGAUUUCUGCGUUCGUCAAUUGGGACACCUGAGCACCUGCUGUAUGUGUGCCUUGUGCUAGUCAUCGUAGGAGAUAUAAAACCAGCAGAAAACUUACGGAACUCAAUCUGACUUGUGAGGUAUGGCUUUUACGCCAAUCAUGAAUGAUAAAGUGGUGCCAUUUACAGAAAAUAAUGUGCAGAAAAUAAAUGCAAAAAGACCUUAAGAGAAUGCUCCAUGUGGCUUAGUGUCUAGUACUCCAUAGGAUAUGCAGGGGAUAUGUGUAAGAUCUAAUUGAGAUUCUUAGGAAAGGCAUUAAUGAGGUCUGAAGAAUUAAAUGAUCAGACACACAGGAUGGUGAAGUUUGCCUAUUCAGAGAGUAAUGGGAGAGGCACUUCAAUAUUUUAUUGUGUCUUCCCAAGAAAUUCACUUGGAACACAAUAUUCAUUUCUGAGGAGGCAAAGACUAAGUUUUAGAAAAGAAAUUCCCUUAGAUGCUAUUAUAAAGCUUGAGUAUUUUAUUAUGAUUUUAUUACUUCCCAUCUGUGGUAGAUAUUUUAUUGAAAUUAUUUGGAUGUUAUCAUCAUGCUGUGACAAUGAUGCUUUAAAGGUCAUACACAAAACACAAUUAAAUUUGCCAAGCGAAAUACGAAUAUGCAUUGUGAAAAGCGAAUAAUUUGAAGUAGUUCCUUUUUUUUUACUUGGGCCAUUUUAUGAUGACAUUUUGAGGUGUUUAAAUAAAUCACAAUGUUGUUUUUCUUUUUGAUUGCAAUUUUCCCUUCGCUGUUUGUGUAGGUUAAAAAUAGAAACCAAUGUGUUUAAAGUUUGAGUCUAUUAGUUAAUAUAAACUUAUUCUGAAGUCAACAGUAGAUUGUAUUAUAAGUCUGUGUGGAAAUUUACUGAAAUUAUUUAGCUCUUAUGUAAAUGUGAUGGCUUCUGAUUGAUAGAGAUUUAAUUAUGCAUACUUUGGUUUAUUAUAAAUUACAUAAACCAACAUUUCCGUACCUCUGUUUGUCAUUAGUUUACUCAUUAGGAGAUCUUUACAUUUCCUUUAGUUUAAGACUUUGUGAUUUUAUUUUACUUUUCCCCCCCAUAAAAGUAAGGAAUGGUUGUUUCUUUCAAAUGUUUGGAAAUUAGUCCUGGAAAAUUUUUAGUUAUUAUUGCCCAUCUCAGAUUAUUUUAAUAUUGUGAAUGUUUGAGUAUGUUUUCUGUUUAAUUUGUGAUGCAGACUCAAAGUCACUGAAAACAGAUGUUUUGGUUCUAAUUUAGGGAGUGUUUGUUUAGGUAAUGACUUAGGCAAACAACAAUUCUUUUACAUCUAGGAAGAAAAUGACAGAUGAUACCUAGCCGUCUGAAUAAAGAGUAAAAAAAGCACAAGAAUAAUAAGAAAGGGAGAUCCAACACCAUAUCAGGUUUUGGGUGUAAAAUAGCCCAGUGGUUACUAUCUAUUAAAAUAGUCUGUUACUAUUGUCUGUUUCCAUACUGGUUGCUCACUUUAGUGCUCUGAGGGGGUGGGAGCACGGCACAGCUCUCUGGGUGCUGGAGUAGCAUAUUCCACAUUGCAUGAAAGCGGUACAAUAAGUAUCUGUAUGUGUGUCUGUAUCUGUAGCCACCUGUCGUUCUCAGAUAAUCGAGAAUUGAUAGCAUUAGUAUUAACGCAGUUUGCUGUCUUUUGUUUACCUAAACAAUGUAUUCUCCUGCCCUUAGCUUGACAUUAGUUUAGGGGUACAGGAAUACUUAUUGGAAAAGUAGUUGGAGAUGUUUAGAAUUAUUAUAUACUUCUGAACUGGAUUUAAAAGCUCCUCUGGGCCGAAAGCCAGUUGAUUCUUGUCAGUGUUUUUACAUGACUGAGGUCAAUUACUUCAGAGAUUGAACAACUGCAGCCUUGGUAAAUGGUUCACUUCUGUCCAGGGUACAAUAUAGGAUCCUUUUAAACGCUACUAUAAUUGGUAUUUUAAUAAAUGUGUUUUGAUUGGACAAGAAUGUAAAAGCUAUUUUGGAGUAUUUUCAAAGACAUGAAGUUUAAAACACUGUAACUUGUUAAUUUUGUGUUCUGUAAUGUGCAUAAUAAGAUUGAGGUUUCAAUGUUUGUAUUAAGUAAAUGAAAAUAUUCACAUGAACCUUUUAGAUAAGAGGAGUUGCCAAAUGUAGAAAGAUUCUGAGCAGAAACAGUUGGAUUUAAAAAUUGAACUAGUUGCCAGAGGGCUUGGGUUCUGAUUAUGGCCUGACUACAAGCAACAUUUGUGACUUCGGCCAGUUUCAAUUUUCCCAUUGUUUUUUUUUUUUUUUAUUUAAUUUUUUUUAUUAUAUUAUGUUAGUCACCAUACAGUAUAUCCCUAGUUUUUGAUGUAAAGUUCCAUGAUUCAUUACUUGCGUAUAACACCCAGUGCACCAUGCAAUACGUGCCCUCCUUACUGCCCAUCACCAGCCUGUCCCAUUGUUAAUGAAGAUCUAUUCCAGAACUGGCCUAGUCCAACUUCCUCAUUUGUAAAACCUUCCUUAGUCCUGAAAUACUUUCUGAAAGAAGUAAGUGUGGCAUGUUGAUAGCUCUAUCAAGUACCCUGCUAUUACGGGAGCUUGAAGGUUGAGGGGUGGGGUAGAGUAAUUGGAAAUAAAACUUGGGACAUGCCCUGUCGAGAAAUCCUAGAUCCUUGUUGCUCGACAAAACAGCAAGGUUUUAUGCUAUCAGUGCACAACCUGGAAACAAGUAGCCAUUGGACUGAACACUGGUUUCAGUGUUUAUCCUGAACAUGCUGUGUCAAACCACCUUUACAGGUGUGUGCUCUCCCCGUUCUCUGCAAUCCCUACACCUCCUUAGUCCCAUACUCAACUAUUUUACUUGCCUUUUGCAAUUGAAAGCUUUCGAGUUUAUCCCAUGCUGGAGUAAUAUGUAGACAGAGAAGGAUUUUAAGAGGAGAGUGGCAUGAUAAGAUAUGCGUAUAAAAAAAUUUAACUUGAGCAGGGUUGAUAGAACAGGGUCAAGAGUAGUGGCUUACUAACUGAACUGACCUUGUAAGGAAGUUAACGUUUUUACUCUUGAUUUUAUUUCAUUUCUUUCUUCCUCAGUAUAGUUUUGUUUAAUUUUCUUAAAAAAAAUCCUCUUGAGUAUGUUAAUCAAGUGGUUGAUUCAGGUGAUUUUUUUGCCCUCAUUUAAAAGCUGAUGCACUGAAAUAUGAACUUAGUCAAUUAUCAUCUCCCAGAGGUUCUCUUGGCAUAGAACUUGGAUAUGUGUGUAACACUGGAAUCUUGGUUUUAAAAAUGCAUAUAUAUAUAGUGUAUACACAAUAUAUAUAAAUGCAAUAUACAUAAAAUCUGUGGGAAGACUUUUCAGAUAUCCCAGACAAUGUAAAUAACAGAUUUGUACCUAAGUAGCAAAUGUGUUUCUCAUUUCUCUCUGUGGAAUUACCAGUUGUGUCUGAGGGAAACUUGCUAGAUUCUUUUUUUCCUCCCCUACUGUACUGCCUUGGUAUAUUAUUGCCAAGAUCAGAUACUCUGGGAUCAGACAGAUCUUGUUUACGUCUUGUCUCUCUUUCUUCACCUUUGGGCCAAUUCAGUAAUCCACCUGAGUUUUGAUUUCUCCAUGGAUCAUUUUGCAAAUUGAAUGAAACAUCAUAUGGAAAGCAUUUAGCUUUACCAUGCACACAAGGGUGCGAAACAAGUCUUCCAGUUUUUGGAUGUGUUUCAGAAGAAGGGAUAUCUAAGAGGAAGUAUCAGUCUUUGAUCCUUCAUUAAAGACUUUGUGAGUAAGCCACACACAGUGUCCACAAUAAGUGCGCGCGCGCACACACACACACACACACGUGAGUGGAGUUAUAUUUAUGCACGUUUAGAAGCAUUGAUAUACACACAGAAUGAAUUUUGAAAGUCAGUUGAUGAAUUGAUGAAGUUUCCAGUUUGUAAAAUAAGCAUGAACAAUACAUUUAGAAUGUAAACAGUCUGCUUUUAUAUUAAAACGGAAAAGAAGAAAAUAUCCAUUCUAAUUUUUACCUCUUUGUAGACAAGGUUGAGUAAAUUGCAGAGUGUUGAGGCACAGAGAAUUGGUUACCCAUGGAAUCAAGAACCCUAGAGGAAAGGGCAGAGAUUAUUUUUUUCACCCAAAAUUGCUCUGUCUCUCCUUAAUGGGUGGGGGAAAAACAAACCCCCAAAACGCACAGUGAACUGAGACGAGGAAUACUGGUCUGCUCUAAUGAUGCUUGGGGUCAAAGAAGACCCUGCAAGGUGGCUUCUGUUUGCCCCGGAGUUCACAGCCUACUCAGAAUUCUCUGGGCUUCCUGGAACUUCAUAUUAAAAAUUUGAUAGAUCACAGCAGGGAUUUUCAAACAAAUAGCCAUUACCAAACAUUUGUUCUUUCAGUGACUGAUAGAAAACAAAGCCUCUGUGCGGGCUCCACAGAUUUUGCAUCAUGUGAGGUGGUAUUUUCUGUGACCAGUGCAUGGUUGACUGGUGUCAGCAACGUGCUUUGAUAUCUGUGAUUAAAAGAUACAAAUGAAAAAACACAUAAAUGAAGGAAAAAUAAGCAUAAAGACAACAUCCUUACCUUCAGAAAUAUGUUUAUCUCCGUGUGUCAGGUUGGGCAGCCAGUCCUCUCAUCUAAUAUAUUUAUUUUCCGGAAAUCAGCUUUAUGUGAGGGACAUGUAUUACUUACCUGUGUUAUAAAAUCCCCAGCUGGGCGCUAUAACUUGGAAAUAAAGAUCCUUCAUUUAGCAAACAUUCCUCGGGUGCAUAUUAUUUGUUGGGCACUGUUUUAUGAGUUCAGUGUACAAGGAUAAGUAAGAAUUGCUCCUUCUCUUCAGGAAGUUCCCGCUUUUGUGGCAGAAACAGAUGUGUAAACCAGUCCUUUAAUGGCUACUUAUUGCAUGACUGCUGUGUGCCAGGCUUGGUACUUAGCUCUGGAGAGAGAGGCACAUGUAGUCCUGUUCCCAGCAAGCACCGUGGGCUUAUGAGGUAGUAUAGGCAGGAGCUGAGAAACACUGACAGGACCUAAGAAUCAGGUAAAGACCAGUGUACUCUUAUGACCUGGAGAAUGCCAUAGUGCACUUUUUUAUUUUGUUUUAUGUCUUUAAAAAGAGAGAGGGUGCGCAUACAUGCGCAGGGGAAGAGGGGAGAGGGAGAGAGGGAAUCCUAAGCAGAUUGCACACACACUGUGGAGCCCAAUGUAAGGCUCAAUCCCACGACCCUGAGAUCGUGACCAGAGCCGAAGUCAAGAGUUGGACGCUCAACUGACUGUGCCACCCAGACACCCCCAUCGUUUACUCUUUUCUUUUGGCUCAAAUAAUUCACUUUAUGACUAAAAUGUUGCUUUCCUCUAUUUUAUAUUAUUACUUAACAAUCCUCUUUAUAGUCUUUAACCAUAAGCUGUGGCUUUAUUGAUUUUUUUAAAAUUUACAUUCUGGUUAUUAUUUCUGAAGGAGUUAUGAAGAAAUUCCAUACAGCAUCCCAUUUGAUAAAUUACUGAAAAAAUAUUUAAUAUAUUUGAGUAUCUCAUUUAUCUUGUUAUUCAAGGAGGUUUUAGCCAGUUACUCUUUGGGUUUUGUAUGUUGAAUUGAUCAUUCUUUUUAAGCACCUGUUUAUAUAAACUUAUUGAUUUGACCUGUACUUGAGUUAACUGUUUACAGUUGAUAUGUGGGACAAUACCAUCGAUUACUUUAUUAAAUAAUCAUAAGUUGUUUUAUAGUAAUAGAAAUUUUAAAUUCUGCUUUGAGAACUUUAUUUGCUUUUCCAUACUCAACUGUAUUCACUAAGUUUGAUAAUAAUGCAUUAUAGAAUGGCAGUGCCAUUUAUUUACUGAAGGCUUUGCAACAUUUAUUUAGCAGUUUCCAGUUUUGCAGUAAUUAAGUGAUGCUGAUGUACAGUUCCCAUUGCAUUUUAAAGACCUAGCUAGUUAAUUAGCUUAAGUGGUUCUGUCAGCCCUAUUGACAAUUGGAGCCACAUAGUGGGGGCUUGUCAGGCUGCUAAAAUGAAACCUGUAAGAAUGACAUUACUGGGGUUAGCUUCUUUCCCUCCCCACCCUUAAGAUAAGAGUUUGCUUUCUUUUUCAUGACAUAAAAACAAACCCAGAUAGUGUAAACUGACACUUUUGCUUCUGAUUAACAUGGAUUUUUAUUCAGUAUGGAUUAGUGUUUUUCCACUCCUUGCUCAGGUUUCAGCAGUCUUCAUAAGCUUUCAUCCCACCUUUCUCUCACAAUGGUCUCUUUAAAGAUUUUAUUGUGUUUUUAUUUUGGAUGUCGUCAGGGGCAUUUCAGCAGUGCUCUUGGUUACUCUGAGAAUGGAUUGCAGUCUGGUUGCCCUCACUGUCAGGGAGUCUUGUUUCUGCCUCUUAUCCCUCUGUUGCCUUUUAGACAUCCCUUAUGGAUGGGCUUUGAGGUGUUGCCACUUCUUGUUUCCAUAAAAUUUUAUAUAAGUUACGGAAUUGCUCUGGAAGCAAAUAUUUAGUGUAGUUGGUUUGGCUCUGGAAUCCAGCCCUCCGGCAGGACAGGGGUCAAGGAGGUGGAAAUGGAGAAAAGAGGAGUCCAAGUAGGAAGUGAGUGCCGUCCUCCUGAGAGGCUGAGAACCAUGUGCUGUGUGCAGGUAGGCUGCCUGGAGGGAAAUGGAACCCUGAGUUUGAGUUUUGGCAUUGCUACAUUUAUGCUGGUGAGACAUGGUCUGGAAAUCCCCCGGCAGAGUUCAAGUGAAUGAAGAUCUGUGUUUUAUGGGAUAUGCGUUUGACCGUCACCGUGUUGAGGUAUUCAUGAGAGCAGCCACUGUUUAUUGAAUGCCUGUUAGCUACUGUGCUAGGGGCUUUGCGAAUAUGCUUUCUAUGUUCUGUGCCUUAGUUUCCUUACCUGUAAAAGGGGUGUAAUAGUAGGAUUCUUGUGAAGAGUAAAUGAGUUAAUAUGUGUGAAGCGCUUAACGGUAUCUGACGCAUAAUAACUAACAUUUAAAUGUUAUCAUCAUCAUCACAAUUUAAUCCAACAUCCCUUUGGAAAGAGGUAUUAUUGUACACAUUUUAUAGAAGAGGAAGCUCCGGCAACCUAACUAUUCUGUCAAAAGUGACAUAACCAGUAAGUGACAGGGUCAGAAUUUGAAUUGCGCUUGUUUCUUUCCUUCCUUUGCCGCAGUAAGCUCUUCACCGGUGGCUGUGUGGUGUAGAGGGAAGUCGGAGGAUGAGAUGCCAGACGCAGAUGUUGUUUUGAAUGUUAAAUGGACAGGGUCCUUUCAAAACACUGGAAGAAGAGCUUUUUAAUAACAGAUAUAACAGAAUAUCUUACAGAAAAAUGAGGUUGAGGCUUGGCUUUUGAGAGCUGCCAGGGAAGAACAAGGGGAAAAGGGAGAAGAUCACUGUAAGACACAGGAGAGUUAGAGUGAGAGGACAAGAGGACGAUCACGUGGUUUCCACAUUGAGGAAUAAGAGAGCUUCCAAAGUGCCUGCUGGUCAUUGUCCUCUGGUGCUGCACGCAGGCCAAGCAGAAUGAGACUCGAGGAAAGGCAGUCUAAGUCACUCUUUGGUGUUAACAGAUUAAAUUUAUUUCCCUUUCAAGCUAGAACAAUUGGCUCUAAUUACAAUCGUAAGUAACAGAAACAGAUGAUACAGCGAUAUAAAUAAAUUGGGAGCUUAAGUUUGGAUUCCGCCCCUUUUGCAGUUCGUGUAUUUUAUCAAUAGUUACAUUCUAGCUUGUCGUUUGUCGGCUUAGAGAUCCACUCAGUUAUCUCAUGCAACUAUGAUGCUUCUCAGCAAAUCUGAAGUGCUGUAGAUACUCUACCAGGAAACGAUGAACAGGGUGCUAAUGUUAGCCUGGAAAAGCUCCCUUUUAAUGCAGUGAUUUCUGUUGUUCACACUAAUUUUUCUUAUCUUUCCUGUAUUUUUGUGUCUGUUCUCUCCACAAUUAAAAAAGGCUGAGCUGACUUGACUAGAACUUGAGAGCAACGUACAGUGAAUUCUGGAGUUUAACUUGUGUAAUGUCAGUGAGGGCUUGACAAGUCCUGGAACUUGGUUCACUAGAUAUGAACCUAUUGUCUUGGAUAGUAGGUCUUUCUUUUUUUUUUUUUUUAAUUUAUUUAUU
Long non-coding RNA from Ailuropoda melanoleuca (giant panda), 10455 nucleotides. RefSeq lists it as uncharacterized. The record is from RefSeq and is a predicted model, not a curated record. The transcript is spliced from 5 exons. Lineage: Eukaryota; Metazoa; Chordata; Mammalia; Carnivora; Ursidae.